AUACGAGGGGUGCAAGCGUUAAUCGGAAUUACUGGGCGUAAAGCGUUCGUAGGCGGUUUGUUAAGCAAGAUGUGAAAGCCCUGGGCUCAACCUGGGAACUGCAUUUUGAACUGGCAAGCUAGAAUACUGUAGAGGGUGGUGGAAUUUCCAGUGUAGCGGUGAAAUGCGUAGAGAUUGGAAGGAACAUCAGUGGCGAAGGCGGCCACCUAGACAGAUAUUGACGCUGAGGAACGAAAGCGUGGGGAGCGAACAGGAUUAGAAACCCCGGUAGUCC
RNAcentral lists this ribosomal RNA (274 nucleotides) under uncultured bacterium. RNAcentral describes it as "partial 16S ribosomal RNA". It matches the Rfam family "Bacterial small subunit ribosomal RNA", at positions 523 to 796 of the family's 1533-position model. The record is from RNAcentral.